CCUACGGGGGGCAGCAGUGGGGAAUAUUGGACAAUGGGGGGAACCCUGAUCCAGCCAUGCCGCGUGUGUGAAGAAGGCCCUCGGGUUGUAAAGCACUUUCAGUGAGGAAGAACGCCUGGUGGUUAAUACCCAUCAGGAAAGACAUCACUCACAGAAGAAGCACCGGCUAACUCCGUGCCAGCAGCCGCGGUAAUACGGAGGGUGCGAGCGUUAAUCGGAAUUACUGGGCGUAAAGCGCGCGUAGGUGGCUUGAUAAGCCGGUUGUGAAAGCCCCGGGUUCAACCUGGGAACGGCAUCCGGAACUGUCAAGCUAGAGUGCAGGAGAGGAAGGUAGAAUUCCCGGUGUAGCGGUGAAAUGCGUAGAGAUCGGGAGGAAUACCAGUGGCGAAGGCGGCCUUCUGGACUGACACUGACACUGAGGUGCGAAAGCGUGGGUAGCAAACAGGAUUAGAUACCCCAGUAGUC
Molecule: ribosomal RNA, 465 nt
Filed under: Vreelandella stevensii
Lineage: Bacteria; Pseudomonadati; Pseudomonadota; Gammaproteobacteria; Oceanospirillales; Halomonadaceae
Description: partial 16S ribosomal RNA
Rfam family: Bacterial small subunit ribosomal RNA
Source: RNAcentral